Molecule: long non-coding RNA, 1325 nt
Filed under: Bemisia tabaci
Lineage: Eukaryota; Metazoa; Arthropoda; Insecta; Hemiptera; Aleyrodidae
Description: lncRNA ENSSSA3NGG005052
Source: RNAcentral
GUUUUUGCAAAAAGAAUUGGUGACAUUCUCCUUUCAAAUCAAAGCAACAAUAACUCGAAAAAAUUCGCCUCAGAAAAUGCGCUGAAAACCUAUCUACUCCAAGAAGUAAAACAUAUCAGCUCUCUAAUCGGCAACUAUAUUGAUGACUCAGCAUUCAACGGUGUCCAGUUUUCCCUGCUACAUCACAGAUUGGCAACAAGGAUCGUCAGUUACCUUAUAGCUCAUCCAGAAAGCUUAGCGACGUCUGUAAGGAUUUAGAAGGACUACUAGACACUGACAGCAGUGAGCCAAUGGAAAUUUGUUCAACGCCACCAUCACGAAACAGUAGAUUGAAGAUGCAAGAUGAAACAGUAUUACAAUGUUUAAUCCAGCAGUGUUCGACUAUUCUGAGUGCGUUUCUUGGGAAGGACUCGGGCGACGCAACCCUCUCUGCCAACUGCUCUCUCUUAGCUGAAGCGGAAGUUCAAGAUCAGUGGGAGUUAUCGGAGCAUUGCCAGUGUGCCUUUAUCAAAGGUUCCAUUUCACCUCCGAGACGACAUCGGAAUAGAAUGUGGAAUAGUUUUAAAUCCAAUCAAAGGCGCGUAUCAGCUCUCAUUUCAUCUCUUGGAAAAGAUCCAGAAGCGAAAUCUAACUGCGGAAGUGAAGAGCAAAGUGGUUUGAGCUCACCACCUGGGUUUGAAUUCUCUGAAAGCAGCGGCGAGUCUGAAGAGGAGUGGUACGAGCCUUCAGCACCAACGGAUACAGUUGACGCAAUUUCCACUGUAAAAACGAAAAAUGACGACGUAGAGCCCAUGAGUGUGCCAGCUUUGGCUCCUGAACUCUAUAUUGACGAUUCUGGACCUUGCAAGUUGGACCUUGACGUUUUCGAAGCCAUCGGAGACAUUGAAUUAGAUUUAACAAAGUACCCUGUUACCAAUUACUGGAAAUUUUGCAUCACAAGUCAUUCUUUGGAAGAAAGAGAAAAGUGGAAAAAAGGAGACCUGACAUGUAGCCCCUGUUUGAUUGCCGCAACAAUUUUACCAAUCACCUCUAUUUUUUACCAAGCUGCUCAUCCUUUUACCCUCUUUUUUAAGAUUGAUCUGUCGGAUUGUGUGAUAAACCUUUUGUAAUAUCUUCCUUUUGGAUAAGCCCCACUCUGUUAAACCAAUGGACUGUUACUUACUUUUAUUGUUUUACUUGUUUUAGGAAAAUUUGUACGUUCGUAUUUGUUCAUUAAGAAAAUUGAUAAUUACCAAUAAAAUAUUUUUUUUAAAUUUCCAAGGAAGCAAAUUUGUGGGUUAUGUUCAUUUUUAAACUGGAAAUUCACAAAACUCCCUAUGUUCUUA